CCAAAAGAUCGAACGGGGAGAUUCAUCGUCAGCGUCGCUGGCUUCGCGUCGGUGGGCGAUGCGCCGCGGUUCGUCCGCGGGCACGCUACCGUGCGCGCAUGUCCGGCGUCGUCGUCGUGCACUUCUCCCCUAGUAGAACGUCGCGACCCGCUGGGUGUCGGUCUACGGCCCGGGUGAGGCGACUGCCGCGUCGUCGGUAAAACGACACGCGGCAAACCCUCGGAUGCCCGGCCGGCUGCCCGGCGGUACUCGCACGGUAUCAGGCCGCAAUGUGAAUAUUUGCGUCAAGCCCGUCGCAAGCGCGCGCCACGGUUACUCGGAGGUACGGACCCAGCGCCGUCCCCGGUCCUGGUCCGCUGUUGGCCGACGGUGACCCUUUGACAGGCCUUCAACGGGGCGACGCGGAGGUUAAACUUCGCGCCCGCCUCGAUACCGGUCGGCGACGCUACUGCUUUGGGUACUCUUAGGACCCGUCUUGAAACACGGAA
This 488-nucleotide ribosomal RNA is filed under the name Hypoponera ludovicae. Its description in RNAcentral is "eukaryotic LSU rRNA". Lineage: Eukaryota; Metazoa; Arthropoda; Insecta; Hymenoptera; Formicidae. The record is from RNAcentral.